This 345-nucleotide ribosomal RNA is filed under the name uncultured bacterium. RNAcentral describes it as "partial 16S ribosomal RNA". It matches the Rfam family "Bacterial small subunit ribosomal RNA", at positions 338 to 699 of the family's 1533-position model. The record is from RNAcentral.
CCUACGGGCGGCUGCAGUAGGGAAUUUUGCGCAAUGGGGGAAACCCUGACGCAGCAACGCCGCGUGAUCGAUGAAGCCCUUCGGGGGGUAAAGAUCUGUCAGUGGGGACGAAACCUGACGGUACGCACAGAGGAAGCACCGGCUAACUCGGUGCCAGCAGCCGAGGUAAUACGGGGGGUGCAGGCGUUGUCCGGAAUCAUUGGGCGGAACGGGUUCGUAGGUGGCACGUUAAGUCUCGUGUUAAAGGCGGAAGCUCAACUUCCGAAGGGCCCUGGAUACUGGCGAGCUUGAAUGCGGUAGAGGUAAAGGGAAUGCGUGGUGUAGCGGUGAAAUGCGUAGAUAUCA